GACGAACGCUGGCGGCGUGCUUAACACAUGCAAGUCGAACGGAAAGGCCCUGCUUUUGUGGGGUUCUCGAUUGGCGAACGGGUGAGUAACACGUGUGUAACCUGCCCUUGACUUUGUGAUAACUUCACGAAACUGGGGCUAUUACCGGAUAUGAGCUCCUGCUGCAUGGUGGUGGUUGGAAAGUUUCGGCGGUUGUGGAUGGACUCGCUGCUUAUCAGCUUGUUGGUGAGGUAGUGGCGUACCAAGGCUUUGACGGGUAGCCGGCCUGAGAGGGUGACCGGGCACAUUGGGACUGAGAGACGGACCAGACUCCUACGGGAGGCAGCAGUGGAGAAUAUUGCACAAUGGGCGGAAGCCUGAUGCAGAAACGCCGGGUGCGGGAUGACGGCCUUCGGGUUGUAAACCGCUUUCGCAUGUGACGAAGCGUGAGUGACGGUAAUGGGUAAAGAAGCACCGGCUAACUACGUG
RNAcentral lists this ribosomal RNA (468 nucleotides) under uncultured bacterium. RNAcentral describes it as "partial 16S ribosomal RNA". It matches the Rfam family "Bacterial small subunit ribosomal RNA", at positions 28 to 507 of the family's 1533-position model. The record is from RNAcentral.